ACUCAAAGGAAUUGACGGGGAGGCGCACAAGCAGUGGAGCAUGUGGUUUAAUUCGAUACGAAGCGAAACACCUCACCAAGGUUUGACAUGUACUUGCUAAUCCCAUGAAAGUGGGACUCCUUCGAGGGUAGUACACAGAUGCUGCAUGGUUGUCGUCAGCUCGUGGCGUGAGCUGUACCGUUAAGUCGGGUAACGAGCGCAACCCGCAUCCUAUGUUAAAUAAUUCAUAGGAAACUGCCCCGGUUUUCGGGGAGGAAGGCGCGGAUGAUGUCAAAUCAGCACGGCUCUUACACCUUGGGCUACACACAUCCUACAAUGGCGAAUAACAACGAGUCGCAAGCCGGUAACGGCAAGCCAAUCUCUGAAAUUUCGCCCCAGUUCAGAUCGAGGGCUGCAAUUCGCCCUCGUGAAGUCGGAAUUGCUAGUAAUCGCGAAUCAGCAGGUCGCGGUGAAUACGUUCUCGCCUCUUGUACACACCGCCCGU
This 484-nucleotide ribosomal RNA is filed under the name uncultured bacterium. RNAcentral describes it as "partial 16S ribosomal RNA". It matches the Rfam family "Bacterial small subunit ribosomal RNA", at positions 899 to 1397 of the family's 1533-position model. The record is from RNAcentral.